UAAGACAUGCCACCCUGUGAGAACCAGG
Molecule: non-coding RNA, 28 nt
Filed under: Mus musculus (house mouse)
Lineage: Eukaryota; Metazoa; Chordata; Mammalia; Rodentia; Muridae
Source: RNAcentral